Small nucleolar RNA from Dipodomys ordii (Ord's kangaroo rat), 126 nucleotides. The record is from Ensembl. Lineage: Eukaryota; Metazoa; Chordata; Mammalia; Rodentia; Heteromyidae.
GGAGAGGUCUAUCCUGAUGGAGCAUCUGUGCCAACACAUUGUUGGAAAUGCCUCACAGAGUAAAUUUGUGGUGUGCUUUACUCACAGGACUAUUCUCUGUCUGCGGGAAGUAACUACAAGACACAA